This 251-nucleotide ribosomal RNA is filed under the name uncultured bacterium. RNAcentral describes it as "partial 16S ribosomal RNA". It matches the Rfam family "Bacterial small subunit ribosomal RNA", at positions 524 to 776 of the family's 1533-position model. The record is from RNAcentral.
UACGGAGGGAGCUAGCGUUGUUCGGAAUUACUGGGCGUAAAGCGCACGUAGGCGGCUUUGUAAGUUAGAGGUGAAAGCCCGGGGCUCAACCCCGGAAUUGCCUUUAAGACUGCAUCGCUUGAAUCCGGGAGAGGUGAGUGGAAUUCCGAGUGUAGAGGUGAAUUGUAGAUAUUCGGAAGAACACCAGUGGCGAAGGCGGCUCACUGGACCGGUAUUGACGCUGAGGUGCGAAAGCGUGGGGAGCAAACAGG